RNAcentral lists this ribosomal RNA (255 nucleotides) under uncultured bacterium. RNAcentral's name for it is "partial 16S ribosomal RNA". It matches the Rfam family "Bacterial small subunit ribosomal RNA", at positions 524 to 776 of the family's 1533-position model. The record is from RNAcentral.
UACGGGGGGAGCAAGCGUUGUUCGGAUUUACUGGGCGUAAAGGGCGCGUAGGCGGCCAGCACAAGUCAGUUGUGAAAUCUCCGAGCUUAACUCGGAAAGGUCAACUGAUACUGUGCGGCUAGAGUGCGGAAGGGGCAACUGGAAUUCUUGGUGUAGCGGUGAAAUGCGUAGAUAUCAAGAGGAACACCUGCGGCGAAGGCGGGUUGCUGGGCCGACACUGACGCUGAGUGCGCGAAAGCCAGGGGAGCAAACGGG